GCCUUUAAACAGGAAAUAGAAAUAAAUGUGUUACCAGUCCCCCCAUCUCUGGAAACCCAAGGGAACAUGAGGACAUACUGGUGAACUGGGGACUGAAGAGAACAUGAAAUUAGAAAGUAGGAUGCUGAAGACAAAUUUAGGAGUAAUCAAGGUACAAGCAGAAGUUAGACCAGCAGUGGAUGAACUAGUUGAAGAAACUCCAUGUAUGUGAGAAGAUAAAUGAUUUAUUUGUACAAUAUGUAUACACACAUCCAAUAUAUCCAAGCAUGACAUAAUCUUAUUGCACACCUCCUUCAGACACUUGGAGUACAAUUAAUGAAAGAGCAUAAUGUUGCUAAGCUAGAUCUACUGACUCUCAUAUCUUAUCAGUAGGUUUCUAUUCUGGAACUAUGAGGCCAACACUUGUCAAAUAUGUGUUAAGGUCUUAUUAUGCAAUUUGCUUUUAUUUUCUCAACAAAACUUUUUUGCUUGCACAGAAAAGUUCAAGGAAUACAAAUAGAUCUGGUAAAAUAUUUGUCUAGACAUCAAGUAUCUUUUGAUAAAAGAGUAUCUUGAUUGGUUGAAUAUAACAUAUAUACAUCAUAUUUCCAAGGAAGCAUGAAUAGGCUUUGGAGACUAAAGAAACUAUUCUUAGCAAUUAUAUAUUGAACUCUCACUGGCCUAAUCUGAAAAACAUUUAAAUCAAAUUAGUAUCUGAUUUUUUUCAUGUCUUAAAUGAUUUACUCUAAAUUAAAUCAAUAAAUAGAAUCUGUAGAAAAAUUUUUAGAUAAUAAACCUAAUAUCAAAGUAACCACACAUACAAUUUAUUGUGAACCAUCCCGUUGUGACCUGAGUCAUGUUGCUAUUUUUGCUACAUUACCAGGUUAAACUAGACAUUUAAACACAAGGAGGUUCUAAGAGAAUUCAAAUAGCUCUUGCUAUUCCUAAAAAAUUAAGACUAUCCCAUUGCAAAGAAAAUAGUGGCCACAAAGAUAAGUACUGAUGACUAAUUUAAUGACUGGGUAGAUUCUUUUGGCAGGUACUUCUCAAGAUACUAUAGUAUCUUCAAGGGUCUUAAAAUUUUGCUCGUGGAUGGUUCACAAUAAAACAUCAAUGUUGUGCACACUGUUAGAGGCAAUAGAAAAAUCAGUUUAGCCAUGAUUCAUGCAUGAAUUCCCAUGUGGGUCACAUACUGCCUAGACUCAAGGGAAGGUGCUAUUCCAGAGUCUACAACUGCCAAUAACCUGAAAACUAAUACAAGCUAAAUUCCACUUAUAGGCUAGAAAUUAAAUGGUGCAUUUAAUUAUCAGUCCUCCAGUGCUUCUGUCAUCUUUUGGCAUUUAUGAGAGUUAAUAAACUGCCAUGGUUUCUGCAAACAUAACUGGCAGUAAUCCACAACUGGUUGAGUUAAUUAAGCAGAACAAUUGUCAAGAGCUAAAAAUGAUGAAAAGGAAGAAUUUUAAUGUAAUGGUGCAUAAUGCUGUGGAGAUGCACCAAGGAGUCUAGAGAAUCCAGAAAUUUUCCCUAAUAAAUUUGUGUGUGUGUGCAUGCAUACACAUGUGGAUUUUCUUUUAAUGUAGCACUAUAAAGUAUGGCAUAUUCCUAAUGUUCAGAAUAAUAAAAAUUUAAUCUUGUCCAA
This is a long non-coding RNA of Manis pentadactyla (Chinese pangolin), 1618 nucleotides long. RefSeq lists it as uncharacterized. Lineage: Eukaryota; Metazoa; Chordata; Mammalia; Pholidota; Manidae. The record is from RefSeq and is a predicted model, not a curated record. The transcript is spliced from 2 exons.